RNAcentral lists this ribosomal RNA (253 nucleotides) under uncultured bacterium. Its description in RNAcentral is "partial 16S ribosomal RNA". It matches the Rfam family "Bacterial small subunit ribosomal RNA", at positions 524 to 776 of the family's 1533-position model. The record is from RNAcentral.
UACAGAGGUCCCAAGCGUUGUUCGGAUUCACUGGGCGUAAAGGGUGCGUAGGCGGUCGGGUAAGUCUGAUGUGAAAUCUCACAGCUUAACUGUGAAACUGCAUUGGAUACUAUCCGGCUCGAGGAAUGGAGGGGAGACUGGAAUACUUGGUGUAGCAGUGAAAUGCGUAGAUAUUCGCAAGAACACCAGUGGCGAAGGCGGCUCACUGGCCCGAUACUGACGCUGAGGCACGAAAGCGUGGGGGGCAAACAGG